UGCCAGCCGCCGCGGUAACACGGGGGGCGCAAGCGUUAUUCGGAAUUAUUGGGCGUAAAGGGCGCGUAGGCGGCCCGGCAAGCCAAGGGUGAAAUCCCGGAGCUCAACUCCGGAACUGUUCUUGGAACUGCCGAGCUUGAGAUGGUUAGAGGCGGGUGGAAUUCCUGGUGUAGAGGUGAAAUUCGUAGAUAUCAGGAGGAACACCGGAGGCGAAGGCGACCCGCUGGAGCCAUUCUGACGCUGAGGCGCGAAAGCGUGGGGAGCGAACGGGAUUAGAUA
Molecule: ribosomal RNA, 279 nt
Filed under: uncultured bacterium
Lineage: Bacteria
Description: partial 16S ribosomal RNA
Rfam family: Bacterial small subunit ribosomal RNA
Source: RNAcentral